UUAUCCUUUUGGAGCUGAGGAUAAGGUAAGGGAUACCUUCUAUCUUUUUCUCUCUAGGUCUUCCAUUUGGAAAGGAAAAACUAGUGGAUUUGAGUUCGUUUUUCUCCCUCUCUUGCUACAAGCUGGUUUGGAAACCUGGGGGAUGGCUUUUGAAGCUUGGGAAUUGAUGUUUGACUAUAUUCUUCCACCUUAACUCAGCAGGAACUGAGUUAAAAUUCUGUGAGCUUGUGAAAGCGGAAGUAAAGGCAUUUUGGGCCAUGAUUCUUCGAUCUUUACUCAGUUAAAACUGAGUCGGAGCUGAACAAGGUGGUAAAAGUGCUUUGAAUGGAAUAUAGUGACCUUUAGAACUGGUUUUGCUGUGAGUUAUCAAUUCGAAACCAGGGGAAAAAGGCUCGAUUGAAGCUAUUGGGAGGAAAUCAGAUUCAGUUGAGCUGAAUUGGUGACUAGUAUGAGCUAAUUUGGAAUACUUUAACUUGCUUGGAAGUGAAGAUUUAGUUCUGGUCUAAACCUAGCUGAGUUUGGAGAGCUUUCUAAGAUUGGAUUUGGAGUUCCAACCUGAGAUGAAGUCUGGAAUUAAGCCUUAACUCUAUAUUAGGGUACUUGGAGGCUUCGGAUACUUUCGCUCGCUAAAUCAACGAGAGUUGUCAACAUAUUGCUUGCAUGCCAUUGUGCUAUUUCGCACACGCUUGUGGGGGUCGCGCCCCCCAAACCAGCGCUCCGGAGUGGCUUAGCGACAGAUUGCUCGCCUAUGUACGAUUUAAGCGCUGAAGUGGAUUGCCGUGGGUAGUGUUGACUUCCACGGGGCCAUUAGGCACGGCGCGACUAUGAUUUUACCUUGUAGCCUUCCACAGCGGGAAAGGCUAGGGUGCCUGGCGAGGAGUCGACGGCUAGUUAGAGCCUUUUCGAUGAUAAUAGAUGAACCUCUACCAGUUUAUUUUGAUAUAGAUCAGUGUCGUGUACUGAGAUUUUGUAGAAUGUACCUUGUUGGUCUUGUGUAUUUGUAUAAGUUUAGAAACUAUUAGUUAUACUCUGAUUACCUGGUUAGAAUUGAAUGCCUUUUACUAUGUUGAUUUGUA
Molecule: long non-coding RNA, 1076 nt
Organism: Ananas comosus (pineapple)
Lineage: Eukaryota; Viridiplantae; Streptophyta; Magnoliopsida; Poales; Bromeliaceae
Exons: 8
Source: RefSeq, a predicted model, not a curated record